GAUGAACGCUAGCUACAGGCUUAACACAUGCAAGUCGAGGGGAAACGGCAUUGAGUGCUUGCACUCUUUGGACGUCGACCGGCGCACGGGUGAGUAACGCGUAUCCAACCUUCCCAUUACUGUGGGAUAACCUGCCGAAAGGCAGACUAAUACCGCAUAGUCUUCGAUGACGGCAUCAGAUUUGAAGUAAAGAUUUAUCGGUAAUGGAUGGGGAUGCGUCUGAUUAGCUUGUUGGCGGGGUAACGGCCCACCAAGGCGACGAUCAGUAGGGGUUCUGAGAGGAAGGUCCCCCACAUUGGAACUGAGACACGGUCCAAACUCCUACGGGAGGCAGCAGUGAGGAAUAUUGGUCAAUGGACGGAAGUCUGAACCAGCCAAGUAGCGUGCAGGAUGACGGCCCUAUGGGUUGUAAACUGCUUUUGUAUGGGGAUAAAGUUAGGGACGUGUCCCUAUUUGCAGGUACCA
RNAcentral lists this ribosomal RNA (465 nucleotides) under Prevotella melaninogenica. RNAcentral's name for it is "bacterial SSU rRNA". It matches the Rfam family "Bacterial small subunit ribosomal RNA", at positions 28 to 480 of the family's 1533-position model. Lineage: Bacteria; Pseudomonadati; Bacteroidota; Bacteroidia; Bacteroidales; Prevotellaceae. The record is from RNAcentral.